RNAcentral lists this ribosomal RNA (516 nucleotides) under Burkholderia sp. Z2S-220. Its description in RNAcentral is "bacterial SSU rRNA". It matches the Rfam family "Bacterial small subunit ribosomal RNA", at positions 73 to 584 of the family's 1533-position model. The record is from RNAcentral. Lineage: Bacteria; Pseudomonadati; Pseudomonadota; Betaproteobacteria; Burkholderiales; Burkholderiaceae.
CGGGUGCUUGCACCUGGUGGCGAGUGGCGAACGGGUGAGUAAUACAUCGGAACGUGUCCUGGAGUGGGGGAUAGCCCGGCGAAAGCCGGAUUAAUACCGCAUACGCUCUGUGGAGGAAAGCGGGGGAUCUUCGGACCUCGCGCUCAAGGGGCGGCCGAUGGCAGAUUAGCUAGUUGGUGGGGUAAAGGCCUACCAAGGCGACGAUCUGUAGCUGGUCUGAGAGGACGACCAGCCACACUGGGACUGAGACACGGCCCAGACUCCUACGGGAGGCAGCAGUGGGGAAUUUUGGACAAUGGGGGCAACCCUGAUCCAGCAAUGCCGCGUGUGUGAAGAAGGCCUUCGGGUUGUAAAGCACUUUUGUCCGGAAAGAAAUCUUNUGAGCUAAUACCUCGGGGGGAUGACGGUACCGGAAGAAUAAGCACCGGCUAACUACGUGCCAGCAGCCGCGGUAAUACGUAGGGUGCGAGCGUUAAUCGGAAUUACUGGGCGUAAAGCGUGCGCAGGCGGUGAUGU